GAUGAACGCUGGCGGCGUGCCUAAUACAUGCAAGUCGAGCGAACGGACGAGAAGCUUGCUUCUCUGAUGUUAGCGGCGGACGGGUGAGUAACACGUGGAUAACCUACCUAUAAGACUGGGAUAACUUCGGGAAACCGGAGCUAACACCGGAUAAUAUUUUGAACCGCAUGGUUCAAAAGUGAAAGACGGUCUUGCUGUCACUUAUAGAUGGAUCCGCGCUGCAUUAGCUAGUUGGUAAGGUAACGGCUUACCAAGGCAACGAUGCAUAGCCGACCUGAGAGGGUGAUCGGCCACACUGGAACUGAGACACGGUCCAGACUCCUACGGGAGGCAGCAGUAGGGAAUCUUCCGCAAUGGGCGAAAGCCUGACGGAGCAACGCCGCGUGAGUGAUGAAGGUCUUCGGAUCGUAAAACUCUGUUAUUAGGGAAGAACAUAUGUGUAAGUAACUGUGCACAUCUUGACGGUACCUAAUCAGAAAGCCACGGCUAACUGCGUG
RNAcentral lists this ribosomal RNA (497 nucleotides) under uncultured bacterium. Its description in RNAcentral is "partial 16S ribosomal RNA". It matches the Rfam family "Bacterial small subunit ribosomal RNA", at positions 28 to 507 of the family's 1533-position model. The record is from RNAcentral.